Non-coding RNA from Glutinoglossum americanum, 98 nucleotides. The record is from the annotation of a GenBank genome assembly. Lineage: Eukaryota; Fungi; Ascomycota; Geoglossomycetes; Geoglossales; Geoglossaceae.
GGCUGGAUGGUCUAGUGGUAUGAUUCUUGCUUUGGGAGAUCGGGUAUUCACUCGAUUCUAUUUGUAAGAGGUCUCGGGUUCAAUCCCCGAUCCAGCCC